RNAcentral lists this ribosomal RNA (1200 nucleotides) under Escherichia coli. Its description in RNAcentral is "partial 23S ribosomal RNA". It matches the Rfam family "Bacterial large subunit ribosomal RNA", at positions 344 to 1550 of the family's 2925-position model. Lineage: Bacteria; Pseudomonadati; Pseudomonadota; Gammaproteobacteria; Enterobacterales; Enterobacteriaceae. The record is from RNAcentral.
GGAAAGGCGCGCGAUACAGGGUGACAGCCCCGUACACAAAAAUGCACAUGCUGUGAGCUCGAUGAGUAGGGCGGGACACGUGGUAUCCUGUCUGAAUAUGGGGGGACCAUCCUCCAAGGCUAAAUACUCCUGACUGACCGAUAGUGAACCAGUACCGUGAGGGAAAGGCGAAAAGAACCCCGGCGAGGGGAGUGAAAAAGAACCUGAAACCGUGUACGUACAAGCAGUGGGAGCACGCUUAGGCGUGUGACUGCGUACCUUUUGUAUAAUGGGUCAGCGACUUAUAUUCUGUAGCAAGGUUAACCGAAUAGGGGAGCCGAAGGGAAACCGAGUCUUAACUGGGCGUUAAGUUGCAGGGUAUAGACCCGAAACCCGGUGAUCUAGCCAUGGGCAGGUUGAAGGUUGGGUAACACUAACUGGAGGACCGAACCGACUAAUGUUGAAAAAUUAGCGGAUGACUUGUGGCUGGGGGUGAAAGGCCAAUCAAACCGGGAGAUAGCUGGUUCUCCCCGAAAGCUAUUUAGGUAGCGCCUCGUGAAUUCAUCUCCGGGGGUAGAGCACUGUUUCGGCAAGGGGGUCAUCCCGACUUACCAACCCGAUGCAAACUGCGAAUACCGGAGAAUGUUAUCACGGGAGACACACGGCGGGUGCUAACGUCCGUCGUGAAGAGGGAAACAACCCAGACCGCCAGCUAAGGUCCCAAAGUCAUGGUUAAGUGGGAAACGAUGUGGGAAGGCCCAGACAGCCAGGAUGUUGGCUUAGAAGCAGCCAUCAUUUAAAGAAAGCGUAAUAGCUCACUGGUCGAGUCGGCCUGCGCGGAAGAUGUAACGGGGCUAAACCAUGCACCGAAGCUGCGGCAGCGACGCUGAUGCGUUGUUGGGUAGGGGAGCGUUCUGUAAGCCUGCGAAGGUGUGCUGUGAGGCAUGCUGGAGGUAUCAGAAGUGCGAAUGCUGACAUAAGUAACGAUAAAGCGGGUGAAAAGCCCGCUCGCCGGAAGACCAAGGGUUCCUGUCCAACGUUAAUCGGGGCAGGGUGAGUCGACCCCUAAGGCGAGGCCGAAAGGCGUAGUCGAUGGGAAACAGGUUAAUAUUCCUGUACUUGGUGUUACUGCGAAGGGGGGACGGAGAAGGCUAUGUUGGCCGGGCGACGGUUGUCCCGGUUUAAGCGUGUAGGCUGGUUUUCCAGGCAAAUCCGGAAAAU